Molecule: long non-coding RNA, 2146 nt
Organism: Mirounga angustirostris (Northern elephant seal)
Lineage: Eukaryota; Metazoa; Chordata; Mammalia; Carnivora; Phocidae
Exons: 3
Source: RefSeq, a predicted model, not a curated record
CACAAGCAGGGGGAGUGGGAGAGGGAGAAGCAGACUCCCCGCGGAGCAGGGAGCCCGAUGCGGGGCUCGAUCCCAGGACCCUGGGAUCACGACCUGAGCUGAAGGCAGACGCUUAACGACUGAGCCACCCAGGCGCCCCAACAACGUUCAUCGUUGGGCAAGGUACGCGCAUCACACCUGCAUCCCCUUCAGGUUAACAGAAGCGACACAAUGAAGAGCAGACUGUCGUAUGCCCGGGGCCAUGCUGGACUCCAGAGACUCUGCAUGGGGCUCCCCACGAGCCAGAGUCAACCAGAAGCCAGGUCCACACGGCCAGCCUCCCGGGUCAGAGAGCAGAACAGAGAAGGGAGUGCCCCUGGAGCAGCAAACAGCACCAGCCCAGGCCUCGGGCACACAAAAGAGCCUGAGGAUGAUGCCCAGCUCCCCACCUGGGAGGGACUCACAAGUCCUGAGGCAAGGAACAAGAUGGUAUUACACAAAUCCGCAAACCCUUUCCAUGAUUCCCAAACAUUUCCAACAAAAUGGGCCUGGGGGGAAGGGUUUUUUUAAAUUCUUCUGUUCCCCUCUGGCUCCCAUCCCUUCUUCAGGCUGCGAGCCACCUUGCCAUCCCAUGAAUGUCAUCUCUGUCAGCACUGCGCAGAUCCAGACCUAAAAUGCAGCGCCCUCCUCAAAUUCCACAGAAAGCAUCCACUCACAGCGGAUAGAUUUGGUGUUCAGUAGAUUGCACUGAAGACUUAGAGGGAGUCCAAAGAAGAGUUUACAACAUAAAGAACAUCAAGUUCAACAAGACACCCUUGUCCUUGGAAGCCCUUCCGGCGCCCUAGCCAUGUGGAACGCUUCAAGGACCACCUAAUGCCCUAUAUUUCCACCGCCUCCCACCAAGUCCUCCUGCCUCUCCCUCGUCUCCCCCUUCCUCUCAUACUCUUCUACAACAGCACAGAAAUGCCCCACGGGGAGCAGUUCACCAUUUCCUUCUGGGCCUCUGCAGGACCAGUCAACACGCAAGCCCUCCAGCUCUCAGCUUCGUCCCUGAGAGACUUCGUGGAGGGCUCUGCCUGCCAGAGCCAGCUCCCUUCCAGUGAUAAAUUCUGCUGCGGGCUGUCCGCCGAGAAGUUUUCAACCUCCUGUUGUACAUUAUUCUAGAGAAAGCAGUUGAUGUUAGUAUAAUCCUUUGAGAAGUUUAUUAAUCAACUUGCACGAAAAAGCCUGUAUCAAUGGCUUUCUUGUCUCGUGGAAUUCAAUUCUCCCUUUGAACAUGUCACAGUGCAGUGCCCCUCUCAGAGUUAGCAUAGUUGAGCAUCUUGUGAUCGCUGGAGUAGCUAGCCCAGCCACGGCAUACUGAGCUCGUCUUUUUGUUUCAAAGGCUGAUUCAGACAGCUUAGGAUCUCAGCUCUUUAAAAUUACAUUGACAUGAAUCGUACUGCCUACAAGCUGCCACUCCUGGUGUAAUUUUGAUUUCCAGAUCCUACAAGGUUCUGUAUCUUAAAGAGUUAUAUUCAAAAUGCCUUUGCACACCUGGACCUUUUAGUGACUGAACGUUUGCCCUUAACGUAGGGGCAAUGGUGAACAAAAGGCCAAGUCCUUUCAGGAAUGCUCAGAGUGUGAGAGAGAGGCUUCCUUUUUCAGGACUGCUAGACUUGACAUAGAAAGCCAAAGGGAAGAGGAUGCAUCUGGCUCAGAGCACUGGGGAGCUGCUUCCGGUUUACGGUUUCUUUUGUAGAUAAUAAGAGAAUGCACUCACUCACAGCUUGACUUCAACGUGGCAAAGAAUCCAAAGGAGACUCAAGUGUGAAAGGGCUGGGGACAAAUAAAAUUGCUAAUAGUUCAUUUAAAUCACAGAGUAUGGGAUUUCAGAGCCUCUGCAUAGGUCGCCUUAACCCAGACUUAAAUGUUAUAUAGAUAUUUUCAUCUUUAGAACUUACUGUCAGCCUUACUUUUGCUGUCUUAUUUACCAGAUUUGGUCAAUUGUAGAGAUUCUUAUAGACUAAGCAUAAUUUGAAAUUAUGUCUCUUCCUAGACUAUUAUCCACACAUCUUAUUGUUCAGUUGUAGAAGUAUUUUGCAUUUCUUCAACUUUAUAAACCACACAUACAGAGUUAGAGAGGCAUAAAGGAACAGAGUUCUGCUAGAGAGCAUUCCUAGACUCA